This 1344-nucleotide ribosomal RNA is filed under the name uncultured bacterium. RNAcentral describes it as "partial 16S ribosomal RNA". It matches the Rfam family "Bacterial small subunit ribosomal RNA", at positions 10 to 1381 of the family's 1533-position model. The record is from RNAcentral.
AGUUUGAUCCUGGCUCAGGAUGAACGCUGACAGAAUGCUUAACACAUGCAAGUCUACUUGAUCCUUCGGGUGAUGGUGGCGGACGGGUGAGUAACGCGUAAAGAACUUGCCUUGCAGUCUGGGACAACGUCUGGAAACGGACGCUAAUACCGGAUAUUAUGAUUGAAUCGCAUGAUUUAAUUAUGAAAGCUAUAUGCGCUGCGAGAGAGCUUUGCGUCCCAUUAGUUAGUUGGUGAGGUAACGGCUCACCAAGACGAUGAUGGGUAGCCGGCCUGAGAGGGUGAACGGCCACAAGGGGACUGAGACACGGCCCUUACUCCUACGGGAGGCAGCAGUGGGGAAUAUUGGACAAUGGACCAAAAGUCUGAUCCAGCAAUUCUGUGUGCACGAUGACGGUCUUAGGAUUGUAAAGUGCUUUCAAUCGGGAAAAAGAAAGUGAUGGUACCGAUAGAAGAAGCGACGGCUAAAUACGUGCCAGCAGCCGCGGUAAUACGUAUGUCGCAAGCGUUAUCCGGAUUUAUUGGGCGUAAAGCGCGUCUAGGCGGUCUGGUAAGUCUGAUGUGGAAAUGCGGGGCUCAACUCCGUAUUGCGUUGGAAACUGCCAGACUAGAGUACUGGAGAGGUGGGCGGAACUACAAGUGUAGAGGUGAAAUUCGUAGAUAUUUGUAGGAAUGCCGAUAGAGAAGUCAGCUCACUGGACAGAUACUGACGCUGAAGCGCGAAAGCAUGGGGAGCAAACAGGAUUAGAUACCCUGGUAGUCCAUGCCGUAAACGAUGAGUACUAGGUGUCGGAGGUUACCCCCUUCGGUGCCGCAGCUAACGCAUUAAGUACUCCGCCUGGGGAGUACGCACGCAAGUGUGAAACUCAAAGGAAUUGACGGGGACCCGCACAAGUAGCGGAGCAUGUGGUUUAAUUCGAAGCAACGCGAAGAACCUUACCUACACUUGACAUCCCUUGCAUUACUCUUAAUCGAGGAAAUCCCUUCGGGGACAAGGUGACAGGUGGUGCAUGGUUGUCGUCAGCUCGUGUCGUGAGAUGUUGGGUUAAGUCCCGCAACGAGCGCAACCCUUGUCUUUAGUUGCCAUCAUUUAGUUGGGCACUCUAGAGAGACUGCCAGGGAUAACCUGGAGGAAGGUGGGGAUGACGUCAAAUCAUCAUGCCCCUUAUGCCUAGGGCUACACACGUGCUACAGUGGGUGGUACAGAGGGCAGCCAAGCCGUGAGGUGGAGCAAAUCCCUUAAAGCCAUUCUCAGUUCGGAUUGUAGGCUGAAACUCGCCUACAUGAAGUUGGAGUUACUAGUAAUCGCAAAUCAGAAUGCUGCGGUGAAUGCGUUCCCGGGUCU